UACGGGGGGGGCAAGCGUUGUUCGGAAUUACUGGGCGUAAAGGGCUCGUAGGCGGCCAACUAAGUCAGACGUGAAAUCCCUCGGCUUAACCGGGGAACUGCAUCUGAUACUGGAUGGCUUGAGGGCGGUAGGGGCUGGUGGAAUUCCCGGUGUAGUGGUGAAAUGCGUAGAGAUCGGGAGGAACACCUGUGGCGAAGGCGGCCAGCUGGGCCGACCCUGACGCUGAGGCGCGAAGGCGUGGGGAGCGAACGGG
Molecule: ribosomal RNA, 253 nt
Filed under: uncultured bacterium
Lineage: Bacteria
Description: partial 16S ribosomal RNA
Rfam family: Bacterial small subunit ribosomal RNA
Source: RNAcentral